This is a non-coding RNA of Girardinichthys multiradiatus, 523 nucleotides long. NCBI's taxonomy places the organism in Eukaryota, Metazoa, Chordata, Actinopteri, Cyprinodontiformes, Goodeidae. The record is from the annotation of a RefSeq genome assembly.
UUGAUCCUCCAACAUGUGUUCAGCAUAUCAGUCCCUGCAGAGACAAAGAGGAGGAUAAAGACAUCAUGAUCAGGAACCUCAGCAGAAUCAUUCUACUGCUGCUUUACUUCUCGGAUGUGUCUCUGAGCAAAGAUGUGCAUCAGGAUCCACCAUCAAUAUUAGGAAAUCCUCAGAGUCCUGCAACAAUGAACUGCAGCCAUUCAAUCAGUGGCUACUAUGUGAUUUUGUGGUACCAGAAGCGGAUUGGUGACUCUGCUCUUAAAUUAAUAGGUUAUGUUUACUAUACCAGUGUAACUCUUGAGAAUGAAUUCAAAGAUAAUUUCAGAGUGAGUGGAGACGGCUCAAAGGAAUCUGAGCUUCAGGUACAGAAACUCCAGCCAGAAGACAGCAGCAGUUACUACUGUGCAGCUAGUAUGCACAGUGACUCAGUUAAAGUCUCCCCACUACAAAAACCCUCUCUGGUAAUCCAGCACAUAAGCCCACCCUGAGAAGGAGCACAGCUGCAAAACAACAGCAGUGAAUC